This 301-nucleotide ribosomal RNA is filed under the name uncultured bacterium. RNAcentral's name for it is "partial 16S ribosomal RNA". It matches the Rfam family "Bacterial small subunit ribosomal RNA", at positions 509 to 807 of the family's 1533-position model. The record is from RNAcentral.
CAGUCGCCACGGGAAAACAGAGGGUGCAAGCGUUAAUCGGAAUUACUGGGCGUAAAGCGCGCGUAGGUGGUUUGUUAAGUUGGAUGUGAAAGCCCCGGGCUCAACCUGGGAACUGCAUCCAAAACUGGCAAGCUAGAGUACGGUAGAGGGUGGUGGAAUUUCCUGUGUAGCGGUGAAAUGCGUAGAUAUAGGAAGGAACACCAGUGGCGAAGGCGACCACCUGGACUGAUACUGACACUGAGGUGCGAAAGCGUGGGGAGCAAACAGGAUUAGAUACCCCUGUAGUCCCUGUCUCUUAUAC